Molecule: ribosomal RNA, 374 nt
Filed under: uncultured bacterium
Lineage: Bacteria
Description: bacterial SSU rRNA
Rfam family: Bacterial small subunit ribosomal RNA
Source: RNAcentral
UACGUAGGGUGCGAGCGUUAAUCGGAAUUACUGGGCGUAAAGCGUGCGCAGGCGGUUUUGUAAGACAGAGGUGAAAUCCCCGGGCUCAACCUGGGAACUGCCUUUGUGACUGCAAGGCUAGAGUACGGCAGAGGGGGAUGGAAUUCCGCGUGUAGCAGUGAAAUGCGUAGAUAUGCGGAGGAACACCGAUGGCGAAGGCAAUCCCCUGGGCCUGUACUGACGCUCAUGCACGAAAGCGUGGGGAGCAAACAGGAUUAGAUACCCUGGUAGUCCACGCCCUAAACGAUGUCAACUGGUUGUUGGGUCUUAACUGACUCAGUAACGAAGCGAACGCGUGAAGUUGACCGCCUGGGGAGUACGGCCGCAAGGUUGAA